Molecule: long non-coding RNA, 763 nt
Organism: Myotis brandtii (Brandt's bat)
Lineage: Eukaryota; Metazoa; Chordata; Mammalia; Chiroptera; Vespertilionidae
Exons: 2
Source: RefSeq, a predicted model, not a curated record
UGGAUUGUUUCUCUUUUCUUCUCUCUUUUUUCUCCUCUGCUAGAUUGGGAUUCAUUCCUCGGCUUCCAUAGGGGCCGCCACCCCACAUGUUUUAACACGCAGAAUUCAUGUAUCAGAAUCUAAACUCAACUGUUAUUUUUACUUUUCUCAAAACAAUUCAGAGACCUUAGGACACUGAUUGUGGUGACCUCCGUCCUGCCCCAGGCCUGACCCCUGUGUGCCACUCCUGCCUGGUUCUCCCUGGGGCCUGCAGCUGGGCUCUGGCCCGUCCCAGGCUCUGUCCUCGCUACUGCGCUCAGGCCGCACGGACCCUCCCAGGCUGCUGCUGGCCAGGCCUCAUGCCGACUCCUGGUUUCCCCUCCUGUUUGCCCUCUGAGAGGCUGGUCAAAGCUUUCUCGUCAUUAUUGUGACAGAAAUGGGCACGUUUGCUCCCAGGUAUUUAUCGCCAGUAGGUGCUGAGGGCUCCCACUGCUGCUCUGGUCCUCCCGUCGUCUGGCCGCGCUCGGCCCUUCCGGUGAAAUGUUUCUCAGAUUCAUCAACAGUUUUCUGGAAACUCCAGCAAGUAACCAGGAGCCCUCCUCCCCACUCCCCCCGAGGCAGCAGUGGCUCCCCUCAGACCCACGGCGGACACAGGGUGCAGCCCCCCAACCCCCGAGGCCCUGCUGUGCCCGGGGCCCUGUGCAGACCCAGCCUCCCCACCUGGGACUGUUUCCUGAUGUUUUAUGCCCUGCUUUUAUUGUAUUAAAAGUUGGUUUUGUUUUAC